UGUCCCAAACGGCUUGGCGAGUUUUGUGAAGUAUGAGGCAUGAAAUGAGAAUGCUUGGACACUGAACGGCCAUAUCCAGCAUGCAUAUCAUGAGCUGAAGGAGGGCUUCCAACCUCCAUGUGCGUAAAUGCUUGAAUAGGUCCAUUUUGUCUUUGAAUCAGUGAAUUGGAGCUCUGGUUUGAAGUCCGGUUGGAUCUUCCAAAACCAACUGAUGGAUCACCUGAACCAAGAUGCAUUCCUUUGCUGAACUCGAUGCUUAUGGAGCUGACCUCUGAACUAUCUUCUUGUAGAAGCUGUUCCUCACUGUAAUUGGGAUCCCAAUCCCCUGGAUCUGGCAAUGAUAGGCUAGCCUCAGGCUUAUCAUGAGCUGGUCCCACACUUUGAGAGAAAUGCAUAUUAGAAGGUUUGAAAGAGCCAGGCAUAUUCUGGUUGGCAGAAUGACCAGCAGUACUUCCACUACCUCCAUGCUGCUGCAUCCAACUUGCAGUGCUAGAAUUUGAUUGGCAAUGUGAGGGUGAACUUCCAAAUACUGAAGGAUUUCCCUCAGCUAGGGUAGAACUGGUACCAUCAGCAUAUUGUCCUUGCCAAUGCAAAGAUGGCAUACCACUCUCUUGAGAAUGAGAACUUCCAGAAUACCCCCAACUUUUUCUUCUAUUGAAUUGGGUAACUGCAG
This 673-nucleotide unclassified non-coding RNA is filed under the name Hevea brasiliensis (rubber tree). The record is from RNAcentral. Lineage: Eukaryota; Viridiplantae; Streptophyta; Magnoliopsida; Malpighiales; Euphorbiaceae.